AGGAUUGCUCAAAUGAGGGGUGUCUUCGGUCUUCGUAGGACGUUGAAUGAGAAGGAUCAAUCGGUAGGGACCUGCAGAAGAAACUCGCCAUGUUCUUGCAGGAAUGGAAUAGAAGGUGGAGAGGCCAAAUGUGUUAGCGAAUGGUAGGGAAGGGAGAGGAGUUAGGAAACGGGACAGAUUGGAGAUGAAGAUAUUUAUCAUAGCAGGAANNNNNNNNNNNNNNNNNNNNAGGAGUUAGGAAACGGGACAGAUUGGAGAUGAAGAUAUUUAUCAUAGCAGAAGGGGAUGAUUGUGAUAAAUAUCUUGCCAUGUUCUUGCAGGAAUGGAAUAGAAGGUGGAGAGGUCAAAUGUGUUAGCGAAUGGUAGGGAAGGGAGAGGAGUUAGGAAACGGGACAGAUUGGAGAUGAACGUAUUUAUCACAGCAGAAGGGGAUGAUUGUGAUAUCAUAGAGGUGUAUUUAAUGAAUAUCUUAUGACCAGAGUAUUAUAUCAAGGUUCAACUUUAAGUCCUUUAUUUUUGACAUUUGUAAUAGACCUUCAUAAAUUUUAGAGUUUGCUAAUGAUAUUCUUUUGAUUGAUGAGAAUAUGAGUAAUUAUAAA
Molecule: long non-coding RNA, 599 nt
Filed under: Musa acuminata (dwarf banana)
Lineage: Eukaryota; Viridiplantae; Streptophyta; Magnoliopsida; Zingiberales; Musaceae
Description: long non-coding RNA (MACU_LNC000321)
Source: RNAcentral